Molecule: ribosomal RNA, 676 nt
Filed under: Alexandrium minutum
Lineage: Eukaryota; Dinophyceae; Gonyaulacales; Pyrocystaceae
Also listed under: 1 other name
Description: LSU rRNA
Rfam family: Eukaryotic large subunit ribosomal RNA
Source: RNAcentral
UAAGUAGGCGGUGGAAAAUGAACCAAAUGGGAUUCCUUAAGUAAUUGCGAAUGAACAAGGAAAUGCUCAGCUUGAAAAAUGGGGCCUUCGGCUUUGAAUUGUAAUUUUGAAAUGUAUUGCCAAUGGAGGCGCAGGUGCAAGCCUAUUGAAAGAAAGCGUCAAUGAGGGUGAGAUUCCUUUUUGUCAUUUGCAGUCCUCCGUGCACGGUAUAUAUUUGACGAGUCACACUCCUCGGCAUUGGAAUGCAAAGUGGGUGGUAAAUUCCAUGUAAAGGUAAAUAUAUUAUUGAGACUGAUAGCAAACAAGUACCAUGAGGGAAAUAUGAAAAGGACUUUGAAAAGAGAAUUAAAAGAGUCUGCAUUUGCUGAACAGAAAGCAAACAGAAUUGAUCUUGCCUGGUGAGAUUGUUGCGUCUACUUCUGCAUUUCUAUGUUGGAUGUGGGUGCGAUGGUUCUUGCCUUGAAUGUCAGCUUCUUUUUCUGCAAAUCAUUACCCUUGCACAUGAAUGGUAAUUUGCCUGCGGGUAUUGGAAUGCAUGUGUUUGCCAUGAUUUGUGAUUUGAUACAUGUGUCUGGUGGUACUUGUGUGUGUUCCUUUGUCAAAGGGGAAGGUUUGCUUCCUUGAGCACCACAAGCCCUUGCACAAUGUUGCUGGCAAAAUGUUUCUGCUUGACCCG